This is a long non-coding RNA of Sardina pilchardus (European sardine), 731 nucleotides long. RefSeq lists it as uncharacterized. The record is from RefSeq and is a predicted model, not a curated record. The transcript has 4 exons. NCBI's taxonomy places the organism in Eukaryota, Metazoa, Chordata, Actinopteri, Clupeiformes, Clupeidae.
CCCAUAGACCUCCAGAGGAAACAAUGGCGGACGUUUUUUCAGGCUACUUCCGCGUUAUGGAGAGCUCAACAGUUCUUAACAGUGACAUUCGCGGAGUUUGCCUCAUUCACUUCCAUUGGUGUCUGCCUAACUUUGUCAGCGAUGCUGAAAGUGACGUGACAAGACAUUGUCUUCAAUUAAGUGGUCCUUCAGUGCCACUGCUUUGGUUGACACCAUAAGGGAUUCGGUCGUCCUUGCCGGACCAACUGCUCCACUUUACUGAUGAUAUUGAAGGCCUCCUGCAAUGGACAGUAAAGGGACCAAGGAUGCAGAGGACAAGACGGGUGUGUAGUAUUGACUGAAAUUAUCAGAGAAGGUCAUUUUUUAUGGUUUAGGUCCAAACGAAGGGACCCUUCCAACCUCGGCAUCUCCAACACCUCCUGUCACACCUCCAGCCAAAUGUGCUACAUCUUCCUCAGUUAACCUUCUUGUAGGUGUGCAUGUCCAGCAUCCUUUGCACAUUAAUGUCUUUAGUUGUUCACACACGGUACGGUUGUUCAGAUUUGGGAAUCUGAAAUGUUUUUCAGAAUGUCUUUGAAAAUAUAAAUGGGUGUUAACCCUCCUUUUUAUAUUGCAGUCUCACCAUAUCUCCCUUACGCCUUUUCUGUGUGUAUUCCUGUUCUUGAUGUUGUUAAAACACACUUGUUCCACACAUUGAAAAUGUAAUAAACAAAUGUAUUAAAAACUCAAAA